This 751-nucleotide ribosomal RNA is filed under the name uncultured bacterium. Its description in RNAcentral is "bacterial SSU rRNA". It matches the Rfam family "Bacterial small subunit ribosomal RNA", at positions 63 to 774 of the family's 1533-position model. The record is from RNAcentral.
CGAGCGAGCUUGCCUAGAUGAUUUUAGUGCUUGCACUAUAUGAAACUAGAUACAAGCGAGCGGCGGACGGGUGAGUAACACGUGGGUAACCUGCCCAAGAGACUGGGAUAACACCUGGAAACAGAUGCUAAUACCGGAUAACAACACUAGACGCAUGUCUAGAGUUUGAAAGAUGGUUCUGCUAUCACUCUUGGAUGGACCAGCGGUGCAUUAGCUAGUUGGUAAGGUAACGGCUUACCAAGGCAAUGAUGCAUAGCCGAGUUGAGAGACUGAUCGGCCACAUUGGGACUGAGACACGGCCCAAACUCCUACGGGAGGCAGCAGUAGGGAAUCUUCCACAAUGGACGAAAGUCUGAUGGAGCAACGCCGCGUGAGUGAAGAAGGGUUUCGGCUCGUAAAGCUCUGUUGGUAGUGAAGAAAGAUAGAGGUAGUAACUGGCCUUUAUUCGACGGUAAUUACUUAGAAAGUCACGGCUAACUACGUGCCAGCAGCCGCGGUAAUACGUAGGUGGCAAGCGUUGUCCGGAUUUAUUGGGCGUAAAGCGAGUGCAGGCGGUUCAAUAAGUCUGAUGUGAAAGCCUUCGGCUCAACCGGAGAAUUGCAUCAGAAACUGAUGAACUUGAGUGCAGAAGAGGAGAGUGGAACUCCAUGUGUAGCGGUGGAAUGCGUAGAUAUAUGGAAGAACACCAGUGGCGAAGGCGGCUCUCUGGUCUGCAACUGACGCUGAGGCUCGAAAGCAUGGGUAGCGAACA